UCGAGGACGAACGCUGGCGGCGUGCUUAACACAUGCAAGUCGAACGGUAAGGCCCCAGCUUGCUGGGGUACACGAGUGGCGAACGGGUGAGUAACACGUGGGUGACCUGCCCCGCACUUCGGGAUAAGCCUGGGAAACUGGGUCUAAUACCGGAUAGGACCGCACCGUGAGGGUGUGGUGGAAAGUUUUUCGGUGUGGGAUGGGCCCGCGGCCUAUCAGCUUGUUGGUGGGGUAAUGGCCUACCAAGGCGGCGACGGGUAGCCGGCCUGAGAGGGUGGACGGCCACAUUGGGACUGAGACACGGCCCAGACUCCUACGGGAGGCAGCAGUGGGGAAUAUUGCACAAUGGGCGGAAGCCUGAUGCAGCGACGCCGCGUGGGGAUGACGGCCUUCGGGUUGUAAACUCCUUUCACCAUCGACGAAGGUUUUCUGACGGUAGAUAGAGAAGAAGCACCGGCUAACUACGUGCCAGCCGCCGC
Molecule: ribosomal RNA, 479 nt
Filed under: uncultured bacterium
Lineage: Bacteria
Description: bacterial SSU rRNA
Rfam family: Bacterial small subunit ribosomal RNA
Source: RNAcentral